GAUGAAGAACGUAGCGAAAUGCGAUAAGUAAUGUGAAUUACAGAAUUCAGUGAAUCAUCGAAUCUUUGAACGCACAUUGCGCCCGCCAGUAUUCUGGCGGGCAUGCCUGUUCGAGCGUCAUUACAACCCUCAGGCCCCCGGGCCUGGCGUUGGGGAUCGGCGGAGCCCCCCGUGGGCACACGCCGUCCCCCAAAUGCAGUGGCGGUCCCGCCGCAGCUUCCAUCGCGUAGUAGCUAACACCUCGCGACUGGAGAGCGGCGCGGCCACGCCGUAAAACACCCAACUCUUCUGAAGUUGACCUCGAAUCAGGUAGGAAUACCCGCUGAACUUAAGCAUAUCAAUAAGCGGAGGA
RNAcentral lists this unclassified non-coding RNA (352 nucleotides) under soil metagenome. Its description in RNAcentral is "partial contains 5.8S ribosomal RNA, internal transcribed spacer 2, and large subunit ribosomal RNA". The stretch from base 1 to 120 matches the Rfam family "5.8S ribosomal RNA", at positions 35 to 154 of the family's 154-position model. The record is from RNAcentral.